AGAUCCAUUUAAUUAUUGUAAUAAAUAUAAAUAUAGUAAUACAAUAGGAGCCAUGAAUUGUGUGAUACCUAUUGUCAAUAAUGUGAAGGCUUGACUGUUGACCCUUGACCUUGAAAGUUUGGUAAAAAUUGAAACUCUCAGAAGAAGAAAAAGUCAAAAGUCACAAAAGUCACGGUCUUUGAAUUUAUUUGUAAUUUCGAUCACUGUAACUGAGUUUCGAAAUCUACAAUCCGAUCUGUUAGGGUAGGUGAAGUUGAUUAAACCAUGCAUUAAAUUAGAUAGUGACAUUAGUGUUGAAUUUUGUAAGGGAGAUUAGUAGAAAAUACUCACAAAGUAGGAAUUGAAAUAUGAUAAACCUAUACUUGAAAGUCAGAAUAUGAUCUAUCAUCCUCUAAAUACAUGAAAAUUUUAAGAAAAAUUGAGUCGCACAUGAAUCGAAGUUCCGUAAAUGAAAAUCUCAAACGUUUGCAACAGCAGAGCAUGAAAAUCUAAGCAUUCCGGCAGUGGUAAAACUGAACCUCUAAAUUCAAAUAAAUAUAGUUCAUACUAGAGGUGUCCAUGGGCCGGGCCCAUAAAAAUUCUAAUCCGUUUUUCAAGCCCGGGCCUGGCCCGAAAUAUGGGCAUGAGAUUUUACCCAGGCCCGGCCCGGGAAAAAUAUGGGGCCCGAGCCCGGCCCGGCCCGUUUUGCAUUGAAAUUAAAAUUAUUUUUUUAAUAAAAUUAAAACUAAUUAAAAUCUAGCACAUUUACCACUUAAUUAUUUGAUUGAAUCAUACAUUAACAGAAAGCUAAUUGACAAAUUUCAUAUAAACUUUUAUUAUAGAUUAACAGACAGAAAUGGAAGGGAUUACAUGACUUAACCAACUAUUCCUCAGGAAUUACAUGACUUAACCAACUAUUCCCCAGGAAUUACAUAAAGCACUACAAGAUGAAUCACUCAAGCACACUAUAAUAAUCCAUAAACAUAAUCUUUAAGAGCUAUGCAAAAUCUUAUAGCAUGCUAAUUAUACCUAAAAACAUGUUUACAACAUAAUCAACUUCCAAGACCUAUCCACGAAUCAACAGCAACAUGAUUUUUCAUUUUGCAUUUCAGUAAACAUCAUCAAUCACUUAUUUUUCUUCUCUUUUGCCUUCGAACUUUUACCCAUUUUUUUAGCUUCAAAUUCAUCACCAAAAUAAUAAAUUAAGCAACAAUAAAAAUAAAUUUCAAAUAUAUUGAAAUGAUGCAAUUUGAUAGAAACAAACAGAGCAUUGGCACAUGUUAUCUGCAUAUGUUACCCUAUUUAAAGGAAUAAACUAAACCCAAUUUGCAAUUCAAAAGGCCAAAAAGCUAACCUCUAACGUGAAUUCAAUCUGUAAUUAAUUUCUCAAAACUUGCUUUAUCUAAUUUAACAUUCUUAUAUGUCGAUGUGGUAUAGUUCUAGAAUAGUCAACAUUGGUUAACAUUCAGUAAAAGGAUGCUCCAAAUGAAGUGUGUGUAACUUCAGUAGAAAGAAGUUGAAAGAAAACUGCAAUUAGAAAUGAAGUAAGAAUGUUAAAUUAAGUAAACAAAACACAUCAUGCCUGUAUGUUUUGUAACUAAAAUUAAGCGAAUCAUCUUGAGAGGUAAAAGAGUGGGUAAUCUGCAGAAAGUGGGAACUUAGCAUUAUCUACUCUUGAUUUCAGUCUGCAUUUCAGGUUAUUGCUGUUUUGAUGCAUAAAUUCAUUGAAAGAACAAUUGUUUUUAAUAAAGAGAAUGAAAACGAGGAAACCGAAGAAGAUGAGCAAACCCGUACCUGUAACAAACCGACCGGAGGUGGAUCGGUGAAUGUCUUGACGGUGGAGGUGGAUCGGUAUUGGAAGACUCUGUCGAUUUUGGAAAUGGAAAAAAAAUGGAGGAAGGCACAGCCGUACAGCACAAUAGAUAGGGUUAGGGAUUUUGUCUCUGUCAGUGUAAGGAAAUGAAAGUAAAUGAAAAACUUUUAUAUUUUAAAAAUAAAAAAAUACAUAUUUAAUAUAUUUUUGGGCUGGGCCGGGCCCGGGCCAAAAAAAUUUUGCCCGAGGCCCGGCCCAUUUUUUAAACGGGCCUAAAAUUUUGCCCAAGCCCAUAUUUCGGGCCUAUAUUUUUACCCAAACCCUCCCAUAUUUCGGGCGGGCCGUCGGGCUGGGCCGCCCGGCCCAUGGACAAGUCUAGUUCAUACUAACAGUCAUCACCAUCUGCAAG
RNAcentral lists this long non-coding RNA (2201 nucleotides) under Gossypium barbadense (sea-island cotton). RNAcentral describes it as "long non-coding RNA (GBAR_LNC014005)". Lineage: Eukaryota; Viridiplantae; Streptophyta; Magnoliopsida; Malvales; Malvaceae. The record is from RNAcentral.